UUAAUAGUGAAAAGUACAUAUCUUAUACAAUAAUACAUCUAAAUCACCAAAAGUUAAAUAAGAAACAAGGAUUAGAUACCCUUCUAUCCUAAACUUAAAUUAACCAAGAAGUAAAAUCAAACAAAAACUUAACUAGAAUGGCAGUAAGAAACCCAUCAGAGAAGGCUGUACUAUAACCGAUAACCCUCGUUAAUCACCCCCUAACCUAACAUUUUAUAUAUCGCCAUUGAAAUCUUACUUAAGAUAAGAUUGAAUUAAGAUUCACACUCAGUCAACAGGUCAAGAUAUAAAUCAUGGUUAGGUGAGAUAUUGCCUGCAAAUAUCAACAAUUAAUUAAACUAUCAUUAUUCAGCAGUUUAAAUUAGGAUCUGACUGUAAUUACGCCUACCUAAUAGCAUCUUGACCCACUAAAUUCCUUAUG
RNAcentral lists this ribosomal RNA (421 nucleotides) under Trichinella spiralis. Its description in RNAcentral is "partial small subunit ribosomal RNA". Lineage: Eukaryota; Metazoa; Nematoda; Enoplea; Trichinellida; Trichinellidae. The record is from RNAcentral.